RNAcentral lists this ribosomal RNA (429 nucleotides) under Gemmatimonadota bacterium. Its description in RNAcentral is "Gemmatimonadetes bacterium partial 16S ribosomal RNA". It matches the Rfam family "Bacterial small subunit ribosomal RNA", at positions 355 to 776 of the family's 1533-position model. Lineage: Bacteria; Pseudomonadati; Gemmatimonadota. The record is from RNAcentral.
UAGGGAAUCUUCGGCAAUGGACGAAAGUCUGACCGAGCAACGCCGCGUGAGUGAAGAAGGAUUUCGGAUCGUAAAACUCUGUUGUUAGAGAAGAACAAGGACGUUAGUAACUGAACGUCCCCUGACGGUAUCUAACCAGAAAGCCACGGCUAACUACGUGCCAGCAGCCGCGGUAAUACGUAGGCGGCAAGCGUUGUCCGGAUUUAUUGGGCGUAAAGCGAGCGCAGGCGGUUUCUUACGUCUGGUGUGAAAGCCCCCGGCUCAACCGGGGAGGGUCAUUGGAAACUGGGAGACUUGAGUGCAGAAGAGGAGAGUGGAAUUCCAUGUGUAGCGGUGAAAUGCGUAGAUAUAUGGAGGAACACCAGUGGCGAAGGCGGCUCUCUGGUCUGUAACUGACGCUGAGGCUCGAAAGCGUGGGGAGCAAACAGG